This 247-nucleotide ribosomal RNA is filed under the name uncultured bacterium. RNAcentral describes it as "partial 16S ribosomal RNA". It matches the Rfam family "Bacterial small subunit ribosomal RNA", at positions 109 to 354 of the family's 1533-position model. The record is from RNAcentral.
AGUAACACGUAUGCAACCUGCCUGCCACAGCCGGAUAAUCGGGAGAAAUUCCGUCUAAUACGGCAUAAUGCAUCGACGGGACAUCCUGUUGGUGCCAAAGGUUGAUUCCGGUGGCGGAUGGGCAUGCGUCGCAUUAGUUAGUUGGCAGUGUAACGGACCACCAAGACGACGAUGCGUAGGGGUUCUGAGAGGAAGGUCCCCCACACUGGUACUGAGACACGGACCAGACUCCUACGGAAGGCAGCAG